Molecule: unclassified non-coding RNA, 239 nt
Filed under: Helotiales sp.
Lineage: Eukaryota; Fungi; Ascomycota; Leotiomycetes; Helotiales
Description: partial contains 5.8S ribosomal RNA, internal transcribed spacer 2, and large subunit ribosomal RNA
Source: RNAcentral
CGCACAUUGCGCCCCUUGGUAUUCCGGGGGGCAUGCCUCUUCCAGCGUCAUUUCACCCCUCAAGCUCUGCUUGGUUUUGGGCCGCGCCGGCAACGGCGGGCCUCGAAAAUAGUGGCGACGCCAUCGUGCUCUCAGCGUAGUAAUUCUUCUCGCUGUUGGGUCCCGGUGGUCGUCCGCCAGCAACCCCCAACUUUCUUAAGUUUGACCUGGGAUGAGGUAGGGAUACCCGCUGAACUUAA